UACUAGAGUAGCACUCGCAUAUCAAUAAGCGGAGGAAAAGAAACUAACAAGGAUUCCCCUAGUAACGGCGAGUGAAGCGGGAAGAGCUCAAAUUUGAAAUCUUAAAGGGUUUCCCUUUACGAAUUGUAGUUUAAAGAAGUGUUUUCUGUUGAGGUUUUGGUAAAAGUUCUUUGGAAUAGGACAUCAUAGAGGGUGAGAAUCCCGUAUUUGACCUUUACUUUCAACUUUGUGAUACACUUUCAAAGAGUCGGAUUGUUUGGGAAUGCAGUCCAAAAUGGGUGGUAAAUUUCAUCUAAAGCUAAAUAUUGGCGAGGAGACCGAUAGCGAACAAGUACCGUGAGGGAAAGAUGAAAAGAACUUUGAAAAGAGAGUUAAACAGUACGUGAAAUUGUCAAAAGGGAAGCGUUUGACACCAGUGUUGUUUUUCUGAAAAUCAAUUAAAGAACUGUUUAUGCUAAGCUGUUUAGACUUUAUCAGCUAUCUGUUUAGUUUUGAGCUUUUCUUUAAUGCACUUUUCAGUUAACAAGUCAACAUCAAUUUCUUUUGCUGUAAAAAAGCUUGAGGAAGGUGGCUUGAGAUUCGUCUUAAGUGUUUAUAGCCUCUUGCCUAUGCAGUCGGAGAGAUUGAGGUCUGCAGCGUAGAUCCUUCGGGGCUAAAUGCAUUUGUGCUAAGUUAUAGCAUUUUAUAGACAACUUGUUGACUAUGAUUUGUCUUGUAGCUUACUCGCUUAUGUUAUUUUACCUACGCUUAGGAUGUUGAGUCAUCACACAUCUCU
This 775-nucleotide ribosomal RNA is filed under the name uncultured Neocallimastigales. RNAcentral describes it as "partial large subunit ribosomal RNA". It matches the Rfam family "Eukaryotic large subunit ribosomal RNA", at positions 20 to 614 of the family's 3401-position model. The record is from RNAcentral. Lineage: Eukaryota; Fungi; Neocallimastigomycota; Neocallimastigomycetes; Neocallimastigales.